Molecule: ribosomal RNA, 777 nt
Filed under: uncultured Neocallimastigales
Lineage: Eukaryota; Fungi; Neocallimastigomycota; Neocallimastigomycetes; Neocallimastigales
Description: partial large subunit ribosomal RNA
Rfam family: Eukaryotic large subunit ribosomal RNA
Source: RNAcentral
AGAGAGAGACAUGCGCGCAUAUCAAUAAGCGGAGGAAAAGAAACUAACUAGGAUUCCCUCAGUAACGGCGAGUGAAGCGGGAAGAGCUCAAAUUUGAAAUCUUCAAGGGUUCUACCUUUACGAAUUGUAGUUUAAAGAAGUGUUUUCUGUUGAGGUUUUGGUAAAAGUUCUUUGGAAUAGGGACAUCAUAGAGGGUGAGAAUCCCGUAUUUGACCAUUACUUUCCAACUUUGUGAUACACUUUCAAAGAGUCGGAUUGUUUGGGAAUGCAGUCCAAAAUGGGUGGUAAAUUUCAUCUAAAGCUAAAUAUUGGCGAGAGACCGAUAGCGAACAAGUACCGUGAGGGAAAGAUGAAAAGAACUUUGAAAAGAGAGUUAAACAGUACGUGAAAUUGUCAAAAGGGAAGCGUUUGACACCAGUGUUGUUUUCUCGAAAAUCAAUUAAAAAAGGCAGGAUUUUGUGUUGUAUUGACUUUAUCAGCUUUCUGCACUCUUUUCUUGUCUUUUUUAAUGCACUUUUCGUUUAACAAGUCAACAUCAAUUUCUUUAGUUGUAAAAGGGUCAUUGGAAGGUGGCUUUCUUUUCGGAGAAAGUGUUUAUAGCCUUUGGCCUCUGCAAUCGGAGAGAUUGAGGUCUGCAGCGUAGAUCCUUCGGGGUUAGAUACAUUUGUGCUAAGUUAUAGCCUUUCAUAGACAACUUGUUGACUAUGAUCAGUCAUGUAGCUUACUCGCUUAUGCUAUUUUACCUACGCUUAGGAUGUUGAUGUGAUACUGCGAGCA